Molecule: transfer RNA, 70 nt
Filed under: Marmota monax (woodchuck)
Lineage: Eukaryota; Metazoa; Chordata; Mammalia; Rodentia; Sciuridae
Rfam family: tRNA
About the family: Transfer RNA (tRNA) molecules are approximately 80 nucleotides in length. Their secondary structure includes four short double-helical elements and three loops (D, anti-codon, and T loops).
Source: Rfam by way of RNAcentral
GGAGAUAUAGCUCAGUUGGCAGAGUGCUUGCCUAAUAUGUAAAAUGCCUUGGGUUCAACCCAUAGCACCA